GACGAACGCUGGCGGCGUGCCUAAUACAUGCAAGUCGAACGCAGUGGGGACGGGUGAGUAACACGUGGGUAACCUCCCCAUCAGAGGGGAUAACACUUGGACACAGGUGCUAAACCGAUAUUGAUGGAUGGACCCGCGGUGCAUUAGCUAGUUGGUGAGGUAAUGGCUCACCAAGGCCACGAUGAAUAGCCGACCGGCGCGGGGGAUCGGCCACAUGGGGACUGAGACACGGCCCAGACUCCUACGGGAGGAAGCAGUAGGGAAUCUUCGGAAAUGGACGAAAGUCUGACCGAGCAACGCCGCGUGAGUGAAGAAGGUUUUCGGAUCGUAAAACUCUGUUGUUAGAGAAGCGGUAUCUAACCAGAAAGCAACGGCUAACUACGUGCCAGCAGCCGCGGUAAUUC
This 404-nucleotide ribosomal RNA is filed under the name uncultured bacterium. Its description in RNAcentral is "partial 16S ribosomal RNA". It matches the Rfam family "Bacterial small subunit ribosomal RNA", at positions 28 to 526 of the family's 1533-position model. The record is from RNAcentral.